RNAcentral lists this transfer RNA (69 nucleotides) under Ictidomys tridecemlineatus (thirteen-lined ground squirrel). RNAcentral describes it as "Spermophilus tridecemlineatus (thirteen-lined ground squirrel) tRNA". It matches the Rfam family "tRNA". Rfam says of the family: Transfer RNA (tRNA) molecules are approximately 80 nucleotides in length. Their secondary structure includes four short double-helical elements and three loops (D, anti-codon, and T loops). Lineage: Eukaryota; Metazoa; Chordata; Mammalia; Rodentia; Sciuridae. The record is from Rfam by way of RNAcentral.
GUGGUGGCUCAGUGGUAGAGUGCUCGCCUAGCAUGCAAAAAGGCACUGAGUUCGAUCCUCAGCACCACA